AAUAUACCUGAUAAAAGGGUUAUCUUGAUAGGAUAAAUAAUGUAAUUUUACUCUUAUUA
Molecule: transfer RNA, 59 nt
Filed under: Macropes robustus
Lineage: Eukaryota; Metazoa; Arthropoda; Insecta; Hemiptera; Blissidae
Description: tRNA-Ile
Source: RNAcentral